CCUGUCCACUAGAGGCAUUACAGUGCAGCUACCAUGUCCCAUGUGCAUCAGUAGAUGGCAGAGAGGAGAGAGGGUUUGUCUAUCUAUGUUCAGUGUUGUGAACUAUGACUAUCUAAAUGAAUAGUAGCCUAACAUU
Grammomys surdaster is the source of this 136-nucleotide small nucleolar RNA. RefSeq annotates it as small nucleolar RNA SNORA17. NCBI's taxonomy places the organism in Eukaryota, Metazoa, Chordata, Mammalia, Rodentia, Muridae. The record is from RefSeq and is a predicted model, not a curated record. The transcript has a single exon.